UACAGAGGGGGCGAGCGUUGUUCGGAAUUACCGGGCGUAAAGGGCGCGUAGGCGGCCUUCUAAGUCGAACGUGAAAUCCCCGGGCUCAACCCGGGAACUGCGUCCGAUACUGGGAGGCUUGAAUCCGGGAGAGGGAUGUGGAAUUCCAGGUGUAGCGGUGAAAUGCGUAGAUAUCUGGAGGAACACCGGUGGCGAAGGCGGCAUCCUGGACCGGUAUUGACGCUGAGGCGCGAAAGCCAGGGGAGCAAACGGG
Molecule: ribosomal RNA, 253 nt
Filed under: uncultured bacterium
Lineage: Bacteria
Description: partial 16S ribosomal RNA
Rfam family: Bacterial small subunit ribosomal RNA
Source: RNAcentral